Molecule: ribosomal RNA, 1212 nt
Filed under: Sterkiella sp.
Lineage: Eukaryota; Ciliophora; Spirotrichea; Sporadotrichida; Oxytrichidae
Description: partial small subunit ribosomal RNA
Rfam family: Bacterial small subunit ribosomal RNA (bases 1-1026)
Source: RNAcentral
GACGUUGACGGGGGAGCGUUAUUGAUCAUUACUAGGCGUAAAGUGUGACUAGAUGGUUUGAGAAAUUUAGAAUGAAAUCUAAGAUUUAACGAUGUUUUUUCGAUAAUACCUCAAUACUAGAGAUUUAAAAAGAUCUACAAUAAGCACAAUUUAGAGAUAAAAUUCCGGCAAAUUGUGAGGAUUUUCGAAAGCCACGGCGGUUUUUCAUUUAAAUCUGACAUCGAAUCACUAAAGCACGAGUAUCAAUCAGGAUUGGAGACCCUAGUAGUUCGUGCCCUGAAUUUAUGAACAUUUUUUAUAGAUUUUUUUCUAUAUAUAAGCUUACGCGUAAAUGUUUCGCCUGGGGAGUAAAGCUGCAAAGGUAAAACUUAAAUAGAUUGGCGGGAGUUUGUAUAAAUGGUGGAGCGUGUGGUUCAAUUCGACAAUCCACGUUAAAUCUUACCAAUGUAUUAAAGGUAGUUUUAGAUAUAUUUAACCAAAAUUUUCGAAAUUACUUGAACUGGUACUGCAUGGCUGUCGUCAGUUUGUGUUGUGAAAUCUAAUAUUAAUUUAUUGAACAAACGCAACCCCAUUAAUAAAUUUUAUUUAAAUUCGAAAUUAAAGAAACAACACUAUGCUUAAUUUCUGUUUAUAUUUUUUAUUUUAAAUUAGGACGAAUAUUAAAUUUAAUAACUUUAAUGUUUUACAUUCAAUUACGAAUUAUUCAUUAAGAUUUAUUAAUUUUUUGUCCUCAGGAGGCAUGGGUUGAAGUCAAGUCAUUAUGGUCUAAAUACGUUGGGCUACACACGCGCUACAAGGUUAAAAACAAAUAGAAGCAACGGCGAAAUCUGAAGCAAAUCUGCAAAAAUUAACAAAGUUCCGAUUGUAGACUGAAACUCGUCUACAUGAAGAUGGAAUCAUUAGUAAUCGUAAAUUACCAUGUUACGGUGAAUGAUAUAUCAAACUCUGUACACACUGCCCAUCACGCUCGAAGAGUUUUGUUGUUUGUAAAUUUAACAAGAAAUGAAACUAGAGACGAUUUCUGAAACAAAUAUAAGCCUAAAAACUUAUUUUGUUUAUUGAUAUAAAAACAUAAAUUUGAUUUGUUUAAAGAUCAAGUUUAUGUUUUUAUAACUUUGAAAUUAUUGAAGGGUUAGUCUUAUUAUGUAAAUAAUAAGUCAAAGGCUUUUUUUUUUGUAAAUCAAGGCCGACGAAGUAAUUUGAGCGAAGUUG